This 157-nucleotide ribosomal RNA is filed under the name uncultured mycorrhiza (Gigasporaceae). Its description in RNAcentral is "partial 5.8S ribosomal RNA". It matches the Rfam family "5.8S ribosomal RNA". Rfam says of the family: 5.8S ribosomal RNA (5.8S rRNA) is a component of the large subunit of the eukaryotic ribosome. Lineage: Eukaryota; Fungi; Glomeromycota; Glomeromycetes; Diversisporales; Gigasporaceae. The record is from RNAcentral.
AAACUUUCAACAAUGAAUCUCUUGGCUCUUGCAUUGAUGAAGAACGCAGCGAAAUGCGAUAGGUAAUAUGAAUUGCAGAAUUCCGUGAAUCAUCAAAUUUUUGAACGCAAAUUGCACUUCUUGGUAUUCCGAGAAGUACACAUGCUUGAGGGUCAGU